Heterocephalus glaber (naked mole-rat) is the source of this 2641-nucleotide RNA transcript. It is a transcript of the gene named TIM double twin CX3C motif protein pseudogene, with no coding region annotated. NCBI's taxonomy places the organism in Eukaryota, Metazoa, Chordata, Mammalia, Rodentia, Bathyergidae. The record is from RefSeq and is a predicted model, not a curated record.
CUCCCCUGAUGGGCGGAGUCUGGGGUCUGCUUCAGCUUCUCUCGUUUCCGCGCGCUGAGCUGUGCUUACAACUGUGUGAGGUAGCGUGAAUUCAGGCUACAAAUCUGAGUGCUGACCUCUUUGUGAUGACAAAUUCUCAGGGCUGCUGUGAGCCGUGGCAUAUGAAACACCUGGGCCUAACACAGAGUAAGUGUUCGCUGCACACUGUUAUUUAUAUGGGGAUCUGAAAAUCUCCCAGCCAGGUAGAUAUUGUGACCUCCAUUUCAACAAUGAGGAACCCAAGCCACGCAAAGAUAGAGCACUUUGUGCAGCUCACAGUAGCAAGCGGGAACUCCUACCAAACUGCCUGCUUCCCAUGUCCCUCUGCUCUACUUCCUCUCAUCUUUCAGUGAUUUUGUUUCUGACAUUUCAUGGAUUUUGAAUCAUUCAAGGAUUUCCAGUUUCACCCCACAACGAUGAUGGCACCCCGUGCUUCCCAGGCCUUCGUGAUUUUCAAUGCACACUCCUAUGGGUCAUCCCAAAUUCAAAUCCUGCCAACAGCCCAGCAACACACAGUGUGGGUGAACCAUCUCCCUCAUUUUACGAACAGGAAAACCAACUCCUAAUGGCAGAGUCACUCAUGAGGCCACAGCAAAAAAAAAAAAAAAAGAGGCAAAAACCAUCAUCAGAACCCAAAUACUACCUCACAUUCACAUCCCCAAACUCAAUGCCUUCUCUUUUCCCUUCUCCCCCACCGCCAAGAGGUUCUGCAUUCAGCAGGCACUCAGUCAGUGCUCAUUGGAAGCUGCCACUUCCGAAGUGGGUGCUGCUAAGCACGUGUGAUGACCAUCUACAGACAAGAGGAAAAGCCAGGGAGCGUGGGUGGGGGCGAGCUGCAGCCUUAGCUGACUCAGCUCUGGCAAUUCUGUCUGCACCCCACGCUGCCUUUGGGCAUCAGUGAGGGGUUAAUUAUAAGUAUCUAAAAUAUUUUGGAAGAAAGUAUUUCAAAAGCAAAAAAUUUUUUUUCAUGGAACUUCCUCCCAAGAUGGAGAAACCACAAGGCUAAGUUCUUCUUUCCAAAUAAAAGCAUUAAUCCGCUUCUCCAAAUUUGAGCUGUACAGGAGACAAAGAUUCAUCCAAACUCCUGCUAAGCUCAACUCUCAGGAACCAGUUUCAUCUAUGGCCUUCUGGGGCUAAGAAUGUGUGGCUGGGAGGGUAAAUGAAUCAUUAUUUAAUGGGAAAGGGAAUUGUCCUCAAAGAGGUGGCAUGGGGUGAAUUGAUUCCCGCCUCCCCAGUUCAUGUGAUGAAGUCCUAAUCCCUGGGGCCUUAGAAUGGGACUGUUUUUUGGGGACAGACUAUUUAAAGGAAAUGAUGAGGUUAAAUAAAGUUGGUAGGGUGGACCCAGUUCCAGGAGGACUGGCAUCCUUACCAACAGCGCUCAGAACACAGAAGCGCACAGAGGCAAGACCUUGGGGAGAUGACAGAGGAAAGUGACUGUCACUAAGCCAAGGACAGGGGUUUCAGAAGAAGCCAGCCCUGCCAGUCACUUGACCCUGGGCUUGUGGCCUCCAGACUGGUCAGUGGCUUUUUCAAGCUGCCCAGCUUGAUGUCCUUUGUUAAGGCAGCCCAAGCAAAAGGAAGCAGAUGCCCAUCUCUUGGGCACAAUCCAUACCACGCCCACCACCGCACGGCUUCUCUACUCAGCCGCAUCACUCACCUGUCCUGCUGGCAUUUGAGUUUAUUCCCAUCAACUGACUACCUAAGGAGAGGCUCAGAACUGCUUUUGACUCUUCAUUCUUGACCCCCAAACCCAGCAUCUUUGGCACACAUUCCCACCCCAUUCAUGGGCACAAGAUAUUUUAAGAUGCACCAUUCACCCCCUGUUCUAUAUCCUCCAGUUCCAAGAAAUUUUCAGGGUUUGUCUCUUUGAUGCUUUCCUCUGUUUUCUCAUUUCUCCUUUUCCGAAAUUCCCUUUCGUCAGAUGUCUGGAUAUCAGCUCACAGUGACCCCACCUGUCUUAGGGACAUGCCCAGAUCCUCUGCCUGCCUCUCUUUUGCCCGCUAUAGAAAGCAGAAUGAUGGAGAAAUGGAGGCAGGGAGACAGCAGGGCUUGACUUGUGUCCAUGUCCUAACCCCUACUACCUGAGGAUGCAAUCUUGUUUGGAAAUAAGAUCUUCGUAGAACUGGUUAAGGAUCGUGAGAGGAGCUCAUCCUGGACUUAGGCUAGGAGACCAGCAUCCCUCUAAGAGAGAUGGGGAGAUUUGAGAAAGAGACACAGGGGAGAGAGGAGGAGGCGGCCAGUGAAAAUAGAGGCAGAGUGGUGAUCAUGUGUCUUACAAGCUGAGGGUUUCCAGCGGCCACCAGGAGCAGGGAGAGGCAAGGCAAGUGCCCUCCUGGAGUCUUUGGUGGAAGCAUAGCCCUGCUGACAGUUGAUUUCAGACUUCUGGCCUCCGGGACCGUGAGAGAAUCCCUUUCUGUGAUCACGUACCACCCAUUUUGUGGUAGUUUAUUAUGGCAGCCCUGAGAAAGAGACUUACUGAGGCUCAACAUCACAUGACCAUGAGUAAUUUACUAAUCAGCGCUGCAGUCCCAGCCUCCAUAUGGGGCCGGGGAUUUAGCUCAGUAGUUCCGCCGCCUGCCUGCCUCGUAAGCACAAGGUCCCG